This 457-nucleotide ribosomal RNA is filed under the name uncultured bacterium. Its description in RNAcentral is "bacterial SSU rRNA". It matches the Rfam family "Bacterial small subunit ribosomal RNA", at positions 340 to 786 of the family's 1533-position model. The record is from RNAcentral.
UACGGAAGGCAGCAGUGGGGAAUAUUGCACAAUGGGCGAAAGCCUGAUGCAGCUAUGCCGCGUGUAUGAAGAAGGCCUUAGGGUUGUAAAGUACUUUCAUCGGGGAGGAAAAACAAAACUAAUAAUUUUAUUUCUUGACGUUACCCGAAAAAGAAGCACCGGCUAACUCCGUGCCAGCAGCCGCGGUAAUACGGAGGGUGCUAGCGUUAAUCAGAAUUACUGGGCGUAAAGAGCACGUAGGUGGUUUUUUUAAGUCAGAUGUGAAAUCCCUGGGCUUAACCUAGGAACUGCAUUUUGAAACUGAAAUACCCUAGAGUAUCGUAGAGGGAGGUAGAAUUCUAGGUGUAGCGGUGAAAUGCGUAGAUAUCUGGAGGAAUACCUGUGGCGAAAGCGGCCUCCUAAACGAAUACUGACACUGAGGUGCGAAAGCGUGGGGAGCAAACAGGGAUUAGAUACC